This 2495-nucleotide small RNA is filed under the name Pan troglodytes (chimpanzee). Its description in RNAcentral is "retained intron". Lineage: Eukaryota; Metazoa; Chordata; Mammalia; Primates; Hominidae. The record is from RNAcentral.
UUUCUUUGCGGAAUCACUAUGGCGGCUGGGGUAAGUUUGCUGGCUCUGGUGGUUCGGGUCAUCCUAUCCACCGCCAUCCUUUGCCCGAGUGGGGCCAGUCGGCGCCAGAGGAGUUCUGAGGCUGAGUGGGGAACUGAUUCGGGGGUCUACAGACUGUACUGCUGGAGAGUAGGGUUCCUAGGGCCUGGAGGGGAACUGAGGCUGGGGCUCUCGGAGGCCAGAGGUGGAAGGGUCUGGGGAAGAGGAGAAAAGAGAUGCCGGGUCUGGGCCGUCCGAAGCCUGAGAAAGGGGUUCGGCUCUGUUGCCGCUUUGAGGCGUGGUAUCUGGGCAGGUUGACGAACUUCUGUGUCCGUUUUGUGGAGUAACACUGGGGACAGGUUGAAGAGGAGGGUCUUUGUAGGCAGGUCCGGCUGGCACGGUUAAAGGUCGUCUCUCAGGGAGGUUUGGGAGCGAGAGGAUUCUCCGGACAGUGAAGUCAGACCAAUUGGACUCCGCUGGCCGGCAUAAUAGAGAAGCCAACGCCGGGGAACUCGCUGCGGGACAGGACCGGAGGGAUGAUAUGCGCGACACGGAAAGAAAGGCUUUUGAGAGAGAGGAGUUGAUUUAAGAAGACGGCAUGCCAUCCCCUAUCUCUGGCUAGUCUGAGGGGAACUAGAAAUCUCUCGAUCGUCGUGCGUGCCUUAGAGACAGGACGAUGCUUUUGAAGCGGUGAGCAGCUGAGCAGUAGAGUAGGCAGGCGCUCGGAACCAUCAAUGAAUGAAACGAGGGCUCCGGGAAGGGAGGGGAGUAUGUUUGUAGGCAGAUGGAGUCUGAUGGAGCUAGAAGUUCUGGAUUUCUUGGAGAUAGAUUUGAGGGGAAGAGAAUACUUCUAGAGGUGUCCUUAGGGAAGGUCAAAUCUGUCAACAAGCUUUAUUUAGCAGUUGGUGUGUAGUUCUGUUCUUGGUAUUUCGGAGGAUUCUGAUUACAUAUGACAAGUACUAAAGGACUUGGUUCACCAGAGGAAGUAAAAGGGUGAGUUGAAUACACUGGGAUUAUUCAGGAAAGUCAUCCUGGAGAGUGGCAUUAAGGACUGGGACCUUUCUACUCAUUAAUUUUGUCCCUCUCUUUCUCCCAUAGACCCUGUACACGUAUCCUGAAAACUGGAGGGCCUUCAAGGCUCUCAUCGCUGCUCAGUACAGCGGGGCUCAGGUCCGCGUGCUCUCCGCACCACCCCACUUCCAUUUUGGCCAAACCAACCGCACCCCUGAAUUUCUCCGCAAAUUUCCUGCCGGCAAGGUCCCAGCAUUUGAGGGUGAUGAUGGAUUCUGUGUGUUUGAGAGCAACGCCAUUGCCUACUAUGUGAGCAAUGAGGAGCUGCGGGGAAGUACUCCAGAGGCAGCAGCCCAAGUGGUGCAGUGGGUGAGCUUUGCUGAUUCCGAUAUAGUGCCCCCAGCCAGUACCUGGGUGUUCCCCACCUUGGGCAUCAUGCACCACAACAAACAGGCCACUGAGAAUGCAAAGGAGGAAGUGAGGCGAAUUCUGGGGCUGCUGGAUGCUUACUUGAAGACGAGGACUUUUCUGGUGGGCGAACGAGUGACAUUGGCUGACAUCACAGUUGUCUGCACCCUGUUGUGGCUCUAUAAGCAGGUUCUGGAGCCUUCUUUCCGCCAGGCCUUUCCCAAUACCAACCGCUGGUUCCUCACCUGCAUUAACCAGCCCCAGUUCCGGGCUGUCUUGGGGGAAGUGAAACUGUGUGAGAAGAUGGCCCAGUUUGAUGCUAAAAAGUUUGCAGAGACCCAACCUAAAAAGGACACACCACGGAAAGAGAAGGGUUCACGGGAAGAGAAGCAGAAGCCCCAGGCUGAGCGGAAGGAGGAGAAAAAGGCGGCUGCCCCUGCUCCUGAGGAGGAGAUGGAUGAAUGUGAGCAGGCGCUGGCUGCUGAGCCCAAGGCCAAGGACCCCUUCGCUCACCUGCCCAAGAGUACCUUUGUGUUGGAUGAAUUUAAGCGCAAGUACUCCAAUGAGGACACACUCUCUGUGGCACUGCCAUAUUUCUGGGAGCACUUUGAUAAGGACGGCUGGUCCCUGUGGUACUCAGAGUAUCGCUUCCCUGAAGAACUCACUCAGACCUUCAUGAGCUGCAAUCUCAUCACUGGAAUGUUCCAGCGACUGGACAAGCUGAGGAAGAAUGCCUUCGCCAGUGUCAUCCUUUUUGGAACCAACAAUAGCAGCUCCAUUUCUGGAGUCUGGGUCUUCCGAGGCCAGGAGCUUGCCUUUCCGCUGAGUCCAGAUUGGCAGGUGGACUACGAGUCAUACACAUGGCGGAAACUGGAUCCUGGCAGCGAGGAGACCCAGACGCUGGUUCGAGAGUACUUUUCCUGGGAGGGGGCCUUCCAGCAUGUGGGCAAAGCCUUCAAUCAGGGCAAGAUCUUCAAGUGAACAUCUCUUGCCAUCACCUAGCUGCCUGCACCUGCCCUUCAGGGAGAUGGGGGGUCAUUAAAGGAAACUGAACAUUG